Molecule: long non-coding RNA, 372 nt
Filed under: Podarcis lilfordi (Lilford's wall lizard)
Lineage: Eukaryota; Metazoa; Chordata; Lepidosauria; Squamata; Lacertidae
Source: RNAcentral
AUACAGUGGUGCCCCGCAAGACGAAUACCUCGCAAGACGGAAAACCCGCUAGACGAAAGGGUUUUCCGUUUUUGAGUUGCUUCGCAGGACGAAUUUCCCUAUGGGCUUGCUUCGCAAGACGAAAAUGUCUUGCAAGUCUUGAGAUUUUUUUUUCGCUUUUCGCCCCCUUUAUCUAAUCUGCUAAACCUUUAAUAGCCUUUAAUAGCCUUUUAGCAGCUAAUCCGCUAAGCCUUUAAGCCUUUAAUAGCCGCUAAACCGCUAAUAGCGCUAAUCCGUUAAGCCGCUAAUAGGGUUGCUUCGCAAGACGAAAAAACCGCUAGACGAAGACUCUCGCGGAACGGAUUAAUUUCGUCUUGCGAGGCACCACUGUAC